Molecule: ribosomal RNA, 253 nt
Filed under: uncultured prokaryote
Description: partial 16S ribosomal RNA
Rfam family: Bacterial small subunit ribosomal RNA
Source: RNAcentral
UACGGAGGGUGCAAGCGUUAAUCGGAAUUACUGGGCGUAAAGGGUGCGUAGGUGGUUUAUUAAGUUAGCUGUGAAAGUCCUGGGCUUAACCUGGGGAGGUCAGCUAAGACUGGUAGACUUGAGUCUAGGAGAGGGUAGUGGAAUUUCCGGUGUAGCGGUGAAAUGCGUAGAGAUCGGAAGGAACACCAGUGGCGAAGGCGGCUACCUGGCCUAAGACUGACACUGAGGCACGAAAGCGUGGGGAGCAAACAGG